Molecule: non-coding RNA, 259 nt
Organism: Pelobates cultripes (western spadefoot toad)
Lineage: Eukaryota; Metazoa; Chordata; Amphibia; Anura; Pelobatidae
Source: the annotation of a GenBank genome assembly
GGGAGUUCCUGUUUUAACCCUCAAAGUGAAGUGUCGUCUCAUUAUUGGGGGAAGGAUUUAUUGUAUGCUGUUCCAGUUUGACUGCUAGGAGAGUAAACCUAUUCGUAUGGUUCCUAUUCAACUGUCUACAGCAUUCAUAUGCUUGAGAGCAUUCAUAUGCUCCUACAGUUCGGUGGUUGUGGUGUCUGCUGCAGUGCUUGGAGUCCUCAGGAAGCACUAGGAGCAUCUUUCAACGGAGGUACCCAGUCGGGGUGCCAGG